AUCAGUUUUGAUGAGUCUGACACGUUAGCCAAUAUUUUUGUGGAGAUCGUGGGGCUAACGUUAGAUAAUGCAACUGUGGCUGUUUUGACUGUAACACACCUGAUAGUCACUAUAUGGGUGUUGUUCCUCCUUCCCUAAGUCUCCUAUGUUGAGUCUGAGAACUGCCAGCACACAGGUGACACAAUGGAACUGUGUUCCCAAAAGGAGUUACGCUUCCCAGGCAACCACCGCAGCAGGAUGUUGUGAUACAAAAUCAUCUUUCCCGAGGCAAAGAAGAGGGGAUAUGCUGUGAAGACAGAGCCAACAUUUUACCUGAGCCCUAGGACCAUGCCCCAGACUACCUGACAUGAUGAC
This is a long non-coding RNA of Oncorhynchus mykiss (rainbow trout), 354 nucleotides long. RefSeq lists it as uncharacterized. NCBI's taxonomy places the organism in Eukaryota, Metazoa, Chordata, Actinopteri, Salmoniformes, Salmonidae. The record is from RefSeq and is a predicted model, not a curated record.